Molecule: small RNA, 400 nt
Filed under: Pongo abelii (Sumatran orangutan)
Lineage: Eukaryota; Metazoa; Chordata; Mammalia; Primates; Hominidae
Description: retained intron
Source: RNAcentral
AAUGUGGGGAGUCAUUAAUAGGCAGUAUUUAAAUCCGUGGGACUGGGGGGGUGUUCCCUUUUUGUUGCCAGUGACAUCACUGUCAUCAUCUGAGGUUUUUGGUUCCAGGUGAGACACUUUGACAGCCCCUACCUGUUGUACCACGAGAAGAUCAAAACUAGCCGCGUAUUCAUCCGAGACUGCAGCAUGGUGUCUGUGUACCCGCUGGUCUUGUGUGGAGGAGGCCAGGUGAAUGUGCAGCUUCAAAGAGGACAGUUCGUUGUCUCCCUGGAUGAUGGUUGGAUCCGUUUUGUAGCUGCUUCCCAUCAGGUGGCUGAAUUGGUAAAGGAGCUUCGUUGCGAACUUGAUCAGCUUCUCCAGGAUAAAAUUAAAAACCCAAGCAUUGAUCUGUGUACGUGUC